This 59-nucleotide transfer RNA is filed under the name Tenebrionoidea sp. 1 KM-2017. RNAcentral describes it as "tRNA-Ser". The record is from RNAcentral. Lineage: Eukaryota; Metazoa; Arthropoda; Insecta; Coleoptera.
GAAAUAUUAAAAAAAAUAAGCUUCUAACUUAAUUUUAAAGCAUUAGUGUUUAUAUUUCU